Molecule: ribosomal RNA, 497 nt
Filed under: uncultured bacterium
Lineage: Bacteria
Description: partial 16S ribosomal RNA
Rfam family: Bacterial small subunit ribosomal RNA
Source: RNAcentral
GAUGAACGCUGGCGGCGUGCCUAAUACAUGCAAGUCGAGCGAACAGACGAGGAGCUUGCUCCUCUGACGUUAGCGGCGGACGGGUGAGUAACACGUGGAUAACCUACCUAUAAGACUGGGAUAACUUCGGGAAACCGGAGCUAAUACCGGAUAAUAUAUUGAACCGCAUGGUUCAAUAGUGAAAGACGGUUUUGCUGUCACUUAUAGAUGGAUCCGCGCCGCAUUAGCUAGUUGGUAAGGUAACGGCUUACCAAGGCGACGAUGCGUAGCCGACCUGAGAGGGUGAUCGGCCACACUGGAACUGAGACACGGUCCAGACUCCUACGGGAGGCAGCAGUAGGGAAUCUUCCGCAAUGGGCGAAAGCCUGACGGAGCAACGCCGCGUGAGUGAUGAAGGUCUUCGGAUCGUAAAACUCUGUUAUUAGGGAAGAACAAAUGUGUAAGUAACUAUGCACGUCUUGACGGUACCUAAUUAGAAAGCCACGGCUAACUACGUG